Molecule: ribosomal RNA, 464 nt
Filed under: uncultured bacterium
Lineage: Bacteria
Description: partial 16S ribosomal RNA
Rfam family: Bacterial small subunit ribosomal RNA
Source: RNAcentral
CUACGGGUCGCUCCAGUAAGGAAUAUUGGUCAAUGGGCGAAAGCCUGAACCAGCCAUGCCGCGUGAGUGAAGACGGCCUUCGGGUUGUAAAACUCUUUUCUAAGGGAAGAACCAGCAGGACAGGAAAUGGUCCCGCUCUGACGGUACCUUAGGAAUAAGGAACGGCUAACUCCGUGCCAGCAGCCGCGGUAAUACGGAGGUUCCAAGCGUUGUUCGGAUUUACUAGGCGUAAAGGGAGCGCAGGCGGAAGGGUCAGUCUGAAGUGGAAUCCCGGGGCUCAACCUCGGACGUGCUUUGGAUACUGCCCUUCUUGAGUCCGUGAGAGGAAAGCGGAAUUCAGGGUGUAGCGGUGAAAUGCUUAGAUAUCCUGAGGAACACCAAUGGCGAAAGCAGCUUUCUGGCACGUGACUGACGCUGAGGCUCGAAAGCGUGGGGAGCGAACGGGAUUAGAUACCCUGGUAGUC